AGUGAACGCUGGCGGCAGGCCUAACACAUGCAAGUCGAACGGCAGCACAGGAGAGCUUGCUCUCUGGGUGGCGAGUGGCGGACGGGUGAGGAAUACAUGGGAAUCUACCCUGUCGUGGGG
Molecule: ribosomal RNA, 120 nt
Filed under: uncultured bacterium
Lineage: Bacteria
Description: partial 16S ribosomal RNA
Rfam family: Bacterial small subunit ribosomal RNA
Source: RNAcentral